This 600-nucleotide ribosomal RNA is filed under the name uncultured bacterium. Its description in RNAcentral is "bacterial SSU rRNA". It matches the Rfam family "Bacterial small subunit ribosomal RNA", at positions 733 to 1338 of the family's 1533-position model. The record is from RNAcentral.
UCCUUUACUGACGCUAAAGCUCGAAAGUGCGGGUAUCGAACAGGAUUAGAUACCCUGGUAGUCCGCACGGUAAACGAUGGAUGCCCGCUGUUUGCGAUACAAUGUAAGCGGCCAAGCGAAAGCGUUAAGCAUCCCACCUGGGGAGUACGCCGGCAACGGUGAAACUCAAAGGAAUUGACGGGGGCCCGCACAAGCGGAGGAACAUGUGGUUUAAUUCGAUGAUACGCGAGGAACCUUACCCGGGCUUGAACUGCCAGCGAACGAUACAGAGAUGUUGAGGCCCUUCGGGGCGCUGGUGGAGGUGCUGCAUGGUUGUCGUCAGCUCGUGCCGUGAGGUGUCGGCUUAAGUGCCAUAACGAGCGCAACCCCUUUCGUCAGUUGCCAUCAGGUAAGGCUGGGCACUCUGGCGACACUGCCACCGUAAGGUGUGAGGAAGGUGGGGAUGACGUCAAAUCAGCACGGCCCUUACGUCCGGGGCUACACACGUGUUACAAUGGGUGAUACAGAGAGCAGGUGCAUGGCAAUGUGCAUCGAAUCAUGAAAGUCAUCCUCAGUUCGGAUUGGGGUCUGCAACCCGACCCCAUGAAGCUGGAUCGCUAG